RNAcentral lists this long non-coding RNA (206 nucleotides) under Linum usitatissimum (flax). RNAcentral describes it as "long non-coding RNA (LUSI_LNC005613)". The record is from RNAcentral. Lineage: Eukaryota; Viridiplantae; Streptophyta; Magnoliopsida; Malpighiales; Linaceae.
UUUAGUAGGCUUGACAACGGGGAGGUUCGAGGAUGGUUAUGACAUAACCAUUAUUCAUCCGCUUUCAUCACGGUUAUUAUCAUAACCAUCCCCAGUUUUAUUUCGGUGAUAAAAUUAGAACCAUCACCAUACCCACACGAUUAACGGUUAUAAUCACUUCCCAUUAUUAAAAAUACAAAAUGAAAAAUAAAAGUCCAAAAAAUGAA